CCAUCUCAAUAAAAUAUUUACUUACCAAAAAAAGAAACAACAACAACAACAACAAACUCAGUGUGUUCCCACAAAGUAGGGUCUCGGGAGGAUAAGAUGUACGCAGUCCAUACCGCUAACUCUGAAGAAGUAGAGAGGUUAUUUACGAUAGACUCCCGGCUCAAGAUAAAGAAUAAGCGGCAAGGAGAUGAAAUACAUAACAGAAAAGGCGUAAGGAAUACUAAAAAGUAAAUCAAAGCAAUACGGAAAUACGAGAGAUACGGCAACACGAAGUAAGCAGAUAGCAACUGAGAAAAUAUGAAAGGGACCCCCAAGUAUAAGUAACAAAUAUUCGCCGCCAUAGACACUUAUAGACACAGACCUAAGGUUACUAAGCCGGCUACACAAGAUCUCUCCUGGUGGUUUGCUACAACCGACACCCUCCCCCG
This 428-nucleotide long non-coding RNA is filed under the name Capsicum annuum. Its description in RNAcentral is "long non-coding RNA (CANN_LNC015177)". The record is from RNAcentral. Lineage: Eukaryota; Viridiplantae; Streptophyta; Magnoliopsida; Solanales; Solanaceae.